RNAcentral lists this long non-coding RNA (315 nucleotides) under Struthio camelus australis. RNAcentral's name for it is "lncRNA (ENSSCUG00000015705.1)". The record is from RNAcentral. Lineage: Eukaryota; Metazoa; Chordata; Aves; Struthioniformes; Struthionidae.
GCUGUGUAAAUACUGAUUGUAAUGUAUUUCACAGGUGGUUAACCUGUGAAAUGUGGGAAGCCCAAAUUCAGUGUGAAACAGAUGUACAUGGAGAAAAAGGAAAUAUAUAGCAUCUUAUAAAAAGGCAUCCUGACGUCGUAUCAUGAGAGAGAAAACGUACAGAGUAGUAGCUACCUGUUUCCACCUUAUCUUGCUUCCUUGGUUUUCCUUACGUCUGCGCACCUACAUGUAGGGACCGCUUUUUGAGCCCAUGAUGUCUGUACAAGCAUAACAAGUAUGUAAUAAAAUAGAUUUGCUUACUCUAGAAUAUUUUCA